Molecule: long non-coding RNA, 532 nt
Filed under: Equus caballus (horse)
Lineage: Eukaryota; Metazoa; Chordata; Mammalia; Perissodactyla; Equidae
Description: lncRNA (ENSECAG00000055712.1)
Source: RNAcentral
UUCAGAUCCCGGGUGUGGACAUGGCACUGCUUGUCAAGCCACGCUGUGUGUCUGAGUGAAUGCAUUUAUGCAAUUAUUCAGAGCUAAGAAAGCAUUCAUACUCUGAGCUCUGUAUUGAAGAAUACUGAACACGGCAAUGAACCCUGCUCAGAUGAGAUCUAAGAGAAGAGAAGAAAAAGGAGUGAAGACGGGACAACCAACAUUUAAUAAGACUUGCAGAUUCCGAACUAGAACGUGCAAAAGGACCUCUGUGACCUCUGUGACAGUGAAGAAGAAAGGACAGGGCAGCUGCUGGGGUCAAGACAGGAAGACGUUGACUUGCAUGAAGAUGCGUGGAGAGGACUUCCUUAGGUUUGAGCCACUUCAAGAGGAAAUAGGAGGAAACAUCAAGGCCGCCUGUAAGGAGAGCAAGACUUUACUCCUGCAGCCCCCUCAGGACUGUGGAUGCCCCUCCCUGACCUUGACCCCUCCCUUCGUGUCUCAUUCUGCAUCCUCAGGGCUCUCAGGCUCUGACUUAGUCAACAGGGACCCC